This 113-nucleotide ribosomal RNA is filed under the name Acanthosepion pharaonis. The record is from RNAcentral. Lineage: Eukaryota; Metazoa; Mollusca; Cephalopoda; Sepiida; Sepiidae.
UUACGGUCAAAUCACGCUGAAACACCGGUUCUCGUACGAUCACCGAAGUUAAGCAGCGUAGAGCCAGGUCAGUACUUAGAUGGGGACCGCUUGGGAACACCUGGUACUGUAAG